Molecule: long non-coding RNA, 1125 nt
Organism: Rattus rattus (black rat)
Lineage: Eukaryota; Metazoa; Chordata; Mammalia; Rodentia; Muridae
Exons: 3
Source: RefSeq, a predicted model, not a curated record
CCGCCAUAGGCCAGUGUCCCGGAGGCACCCUACAGAGGUUCCUUCAGUGGUGCCCUGUCCACCGUGCCUGUCCACGACCUGGGGACAACUGUCAUCAAAGAAGUCCUGCAGAGGGCCAAGGUGGCUCCGGAAGAGGUGUCCGAGGUCAUAUUUGGACACGUUUUGACCGCAGGUGAACAUCGAUGGAGGAGCCAUUGCCUUGGGCCAUCCUCUGGGAGCAUCUGGCUGUAGGAUUCUAGUGACCUUGUUACACACCCUGGAGAGAGUGGGUGGGACUCGUGGUGUUGCAGCCCUGUGCACUGGAGGUGGGAUGGGGAUGGCAAUGUGUGUUCAGAGAGGAUGGGCCACCACCCUUACAGUUCUCAUUCAAACACUAAACAGAACGUGAGACCAGAGGACCAAAGUGAGGACAGGCACCCAGGUGGACAGCUUGCUGUAUUUUAAUGUGUGACACCCAAGGCUAAGACAUUGAGACAUUGCACUUGACACUGUUAUAAAACAGGGAAAUCCAGUCAGUCAUCAAGGGCUCCAGAGUGAACGACAGUUUCAUAAUUUCCAUGUUUAUUGUCUUUGCUUUCUGGGUAUAAUAUUCUCUGGUCAUUGAUUUGUUUGUUUGUUUGUUUUUGAGUCAGGGUCUCACCAUAUAGCCUGAAAAUCGUUUUGUAGAUGAGGUUGGCUUUGAACUCCCAGAGAUCCACCUUUCUGUGCCUCCUGAGUACUUUAAUUAAAUGCCUGUGCCAUUAUGCAGGGCCCCAAAAUGAUCCAUUCAAGGAAUGGGGAUGUGGCUUCUAGUUUGAACUUCAGGCUGUUCGCUCAAACACCCCUGCUUGCUGGUUGUCUUGUGGUUUCCCAUUGAUCAAACCAAGACCAAUCCUGUAAUGGAAAUUGGAUUCAGUGGCCUCUUCUAAGCUGAGGUGGUGGGGUAGGCAUUCUAGCUAUUCUAGUCAGAAGACUGGCCGUCCCAACCAGUGUGCCUCUGGGUGUUGGAAAGUGAGCAGCAAGCGCCUUCCGUGCAUUUACUUCUCUGCUUGACCAGACAGGAUGGUACUUGCUUCAAACGUCUACCUUGACUUCCCCAAAAUGAUGAACUGUGACUGGAAUUGAAAGCCCAAUAAACUCUUCCCU